GACGAACGCUGGCGGCGUGCUUAACACAUGCAAGUCGAACGAAAAGAGGGAAAGAGCUUGCUCUUUCCGGAAUUGAGUGGCAAACGGGUGAGUAACACGUAAACAACCUGCCUUCAGGAGGGGGACAACAGACGGAAACGACUGCUAAGACCGAAUAAGUUCCAAGGGCCGCAUGGCCCAUGGAAGAAAAGUUGGCCUCUACCUGUAAGCUAUCGCCGGAAGAGGGGUUUGCGGCUGAGUAGCUGGCUUGAGGGGUAACGGCCCAACAAGGCGACGAUGAGUAGCCGGUCCGAGAGGGUGAACGGCCACACUUGAAUUGAGACCCGGUCCCGACUCCUACGGGGGGCAGCAGUGGGGAAUCUUCCGCCAUGGGCGAAAGCCUGACGGAGCCACGCCGCGUGAGUGAUGACGGCCUUCGGGUUGUAAAACUCUGUGAUCCGGGACGAAAAGGCAGAGUGCGAAGAACAAACUGCAUUGACGGUACCGGAAAAGCAAGCCACGGCUAACUACGUG
This 513-nucleotide ribosomal RNA is filed under the name uncultured bacterium. RNAcentral describes it as "partial 16S ribosomal RNA". It matches the Rfam family "Bacterial small subunit ribosomal RNA", at positions 28 to 507 of the family's 1533-position model. The record is from RNAcentral.